Molecule: ribosomal RNA, 470 nt
Filed under: uncultured bacterium
Lineage: Bacteria
Description: bacterial SSU rRNA
Rfam family: Bacterial small subunit ribosomal RNA
Source: RNAcentral
UUGAACGCUGGCGGCAGGCCUAACACAUGCAAGUCGAGCGGGGUUUUCGGACCUAGCGGCGGACGGGUGAGUAAUGCGUAGGAAGCUACCCGAUAGAGGGGGAUACCAGUUGGAAACGACUGUUAAUACCGCAUAAUGUCUACGGACCAAAGUGUGGGACCUUCGGGCCACAUGCUAUCGGAUGCGCCUACGUGGGAUUAGCUAGUUGGUGAGGUAAUGGCUCACCAAGGCGACGAUCUCUAGCUGGUUUGAGAGGAUGAUCAGCCACACUGGAACUGAGACACGGUCCAGACUCCUACGGGAGGCAGCAGUGGGGAAUAUUGGACAAUGGGCGCAAGCCUGAUCCAGCCAUGCCGCGUGUGUGAAGAAGGCCUUCGGGUUGCAAAGCACUUUCAGCGAGGAGGAAGGGAGUUGUGUUAAUAGCACAGCUUCUUGACGUUACUCGCAGAAGAAGCACCGGCUAACUCUGU